AGUGAACGCUGGCGGUAGGCCUAACACAUGCAAGUCGAACGGCAGCACAGUAAGAGCUUGCUCUUACGGGUGGCGAGUGGCGGACGGGUGAGGAAUACAUCGGAAUCUACUUUUUCGUGGGGGAUAACGUAGGGAAACUUACGCUAAUACCGCAUACGACCUACGGGUGAAAGCAGGGGAUCUUCGGACCUUGCGCGAUUGAAUGAGCCGAUGUCGGAUUAGCUAGUUGGCGGGGUAAGGGCCCACCAAGGCGACGAUCCGUAGCUGGUCUGAGAGGAUGAUCAGCCACACUGGAACUGAGACACGGUCCAGACUCCUACGGGAGGCAGCAGUGGGGAAUAUUGGACAAUGGGCACAAGCCUGAUCCAGCCAUACCGCGUGGGUGAAGAAGGCCUUCGGGUUGUAAAGCCCUUUUGUUGGGAAAGAAAAGCAGCAGGUUAAUACCCCGCUGUUCUGACGGUACCCAAAGAAUAAGCACCGGCUAACUUCGUG
This 492-nucleotide ribosomal RNA is filed under the name uncultured bacterium. Its description in RNAcentral is "partial 16S ribosomal RNA". It matches the Rfam family "Bacterial small subunit ribosomal RNA", at positions 29 to 507 of the family's 1533-position model. The record is from RNAcentral.